Molecule: long non-coding RNA, 368 nt
Organism: Gopherus flavomarginatus (Mexican gopher tortoise)
Lineage: Eukaryota; Metazoa; Chordata; Testudines; Testudinidae
Exons: 4
Source: RefSeq, a predicted model, not a curated record
AGAAGAUUGGGAGUUUCUGAGUGCUGCAAAAGGCAGCAAGAAAUACCCCUGGGAAAUGUAGACCAGCCUCCAUGAGAUUGCCUUCAUACUCCUCUCUGCGGAAUCUCUUAUCAUCUUCAUGAUAGUCCAUCCCAGCACCUGGAGUCAAGUGGAUAUGUGAUGAUUUCAGCCUUCGUUCUUAAAGAAAAAGUCAUUCUUGAUGUCCCGGGAGUAUGACUAUCACAACCCUUUCUGUUAGCCAAUCAGAACACGUUACAUGAAAUGCAUAUAAGUGUUGAUAUAACUACUGUUCUCUCAAUGGCCAACCGAGAGGGCCAAUAAGUUAUUUCUUCUCUAUCCUUGCCCUUGCAUCUCAUUAAACCUACAGG